ACAUUGAAGCCGAUAACUCUAUCUCCCUGUAUUUGGCAGUGGAAUAGAUUGAAGACUGCAGAUCUUGCCUUCCUAUAUUUGGCAGCGAAGCAGAUCAAAGAUGGCAGAUUUUACCUCCCUGACUACAGUGGAGUACAUUGAAGCCGAUAACUCUAUCUCCCUGUAUUUGGCAGUGGAAUAGAUUGAAGAUCGAAGAUGGCAGAUUUUACCUCCAUGUGACUACAGUGGAGUACAUUGAAGCCGAUAACUCUAUCUCCCUGUAUUUGGCAGUGGAAUAGAUUGAAGAUUGCAGAUCUUGCCUUCCUGUAUUUGGCAGCAAAGCAGAUCAAAGAUGGCAGAUUUUACCUCCCUGACUACAGUGGAGUACAUUGAAGCCGAUAACUCUAUCUCCCUAUAUUUGGCAGUGGAAUAGAUUGAAGAUCAAAGAUGGCAGAUUUUACCUCCAUGUGACUACAGUGGAGUACAUUGCAGCCGAUAACUCUAUCUCCCUGUAUUUGGCAGUGGAAUAGAUUGAAGAUUGCAGAUCUUGCCUUCCUGUAUUUGGCAGCAAAGCAGAUCAAAGAUGGCAGAUUUUACCUCCCUGACUACAGUGGAGUACAUUGAAGCCGAUAACUCUAUCUCCCUGUAUUUGGCAGUGGAAUAGAUUGAAGAUUGCAGAUCUUGCCUUCCUGUAUUUGGCAGCGAAGCAGAUCAAAGAUGGCUGAUUUUACCUCCCUGACUACAGUGGAGUACAUUGAAGCCGAUAACUCUAUCUCCCUGUAUUUGGCAGUGGAAUAG
Molecule: long non-coding RNA, 777 nt
Filed under: Gossypium barbadense (sea-island cotton)
Lineage: Eukaryota; Viridiplantae; Streptophyta; Magnoliopsida; Malvales; Malvaceae
Description: long non-coding RNA (GBAR_LNC017843)
Source: RNAcentral